GGAGACGUGGCCGAGUGGUUGAAGGUACUCCCCUGCUAAGGGAGCAUGUGGGUUAAACUGCAUCGAGGGUUCGAAUCCCUCCGUCUCCGCCA
RNAcentral lists this transfer RNA (92 nucleotides) under Schauerella aestuarii. Its description in RNAcentral is "tRNA-Ser". It matches the Rfam family "tRNA". From Rfam's summary of the family: Transfer RNA (tRNA) molecules are approximately 80 nucleotides in length. Their secondary structure includes four short double-helical elements and three loops (D, anti-codon, and T loops). Further hydrogen bonds mediate the characteristic L-shaped molecular structure. tRNAs have two regions of fundamental functional importance: the anti-codon, which is responsible for specific mRNA codon recognition, and the 3' end, to which the tRNAs corresponding amino acid is attached (by aminoacyl-tRNA synthetases). tRNAs cope with the degeneracy of the genetic code in two manners: having more than one tRNA (with a specific anti-codon) for a particular amino acid; and 'wobble' base-pairing, i.e. permitting non-standard base-pairing at the 3rd anti-codon position. RNAcentral also lists the same sequence under 1 other name. Lineage: Bacteria; Pseudomonadati; Pseudomonadota; Betaproteobacteria; Burkholderiales; Alcaligenaceae. The record is from RNAcentral.